GUACAAGCUGGAUCAUUAUCUCUGCAUGAUGUUGCAGAAGUGAGAGGAACCAGAUUUGCUAAAGUAACUAUGAUGAUGGAAAUGUGUUAGCCUCAGAAGCUACAGAGGUGGUCCAUUCUAACCUAGUACAGUG
Pteronotus mesoamericanus is the source of this 133-nucleotide small nucleolar RNA. NCBI's taxonomy places the organism in Eukaryota, Metazoa, Chordata, Mammalia, Chiroptera, Mormoopidae. The record is from RefSeq and is a predicted model, not a curated record.